This 240-nucleotide unclassified non-coding RNA is filed under the name Hevea brasiliensis (rubber tree). The record is from RNAcentral. Lineage: Eukaryota; Viridiplantae; Streptophyta; Magnoliopsida; Malpighiales; Euphorbiaceae.
ACUAAGUGGCAUCUUUGCUCUUCCAUCCCGAGGAUAAGAAAUGGCGCCCUUUACAUUGAGGUUACAGCAUUCAACAGGAGAAGAGGAAACAGACACCGAAUUAGAACCUGAACGAUCGAUCGCAUGCCACCUCUGCAUCGUCGGCGUCGUCGGUGGGGGAGAGGUUUAAGAAUCGGAAUGUCACCGUGGAGAGAGAGAGAGAGGGGGAGAGGGAAUGACAACAAUCAAGAUCUUAAGUUU